UUACAGUUCCAUACUGGGGUAUUAUCUUGAUGGGAUUAGUAGCAAUUCUGGGUGUUGCCUUAAUCUUGGGAUUGCUGUUUGGAGUAAGUAUUUGUCUUAAAUAAAUGACUGUAUUAAAUAUUUCUGAACCGAAAUUGCUGAAGCCAAUAACAGCAACCCAUAACCACUGAUUUAUGUUCAACUGACAAAUGUUAAUUAUGACUUUAAUCAUUAAUAACUUGUGCUAAGCAUUACCCAAUUCAUUUUUCGAAACUUUAAUAUGUCCACGGCAUUUAUUUCAGUAACACUAUCUCUAUAUUAAAUUACCUUAUUAACACAUUAACAAAUAACACAUUCUUUCCAAUAACAAUAUGUUUGAUGGGCAGCUAAAAUUAUAUCCUAGAUAUUUCUCAUGUCUUAAAAGUCAUACUAAGAAGUCUGGACACCAUUUUCUAUAUAGUUCAUCCGCCGCAACAUUAACUGUCAGUGAGUUUCCCUAACACUUUUCUCCUAAUGUCUUUCCCCUCCAGUUCUUGGCCUGUGCAAGGACCUCUGCCACCUACACUGUAGAGAGUUAUCCUGCCUACUUUACACAUUCAAGGUGGUGGAACCCUACACGUCUCUCCAUGGUCCGAGACCCUGAGCAUGGAAUCCAGUCAAGACCAAACAUUAGACGACUAUCAAGCCAGUCAGAGAACUACAAACUUCAUCAAAGAGCACAACAAUCUGGACAGAGCCACAAAUAAUCCACAUUGAUUCACUAAGCGAUGUUGGGAUUUAAACUGGCAUGGCAGCAAAGUUACUCUAAAAAUGCUAUUUACUAGCAGGUGUAACUCUGCUGUUAUGCCUAUUAUUAAACACUUCUCACUGGAGGAAUCUCCGUAGUAAACUAGAGGAACCACAAUGUCAUUCUGUAUUCACAAAUGGCACUGAGGUUUCAAGGGCACAUAAAGGUAAUUUUUCUGGAGCUACACCUGGUCUCCCUAGAAAAGUACACAAGUAAAAAUAACUCUUUAUAUGCAGUGAUCUUUCCCUGUAGCACUGAAAAUACAAUAUAAUAGUUAUAUAAUCUACAGGAUUGGCAUACAGUCAGACUGAGAUGACUGACUACCAUACAAUAUAAAAAAUAAAUUGCAAAAAAGUGAGAACCUCCGGAACGCUCAGAAAAAAGCAAUAUAGGUCUAGUGGGCUCUUUUCUUUCUCCACCCCAUGCGCUGCGGAGAGUAAAUACAUUAAAAAUGUACCCAGGAGAUUCUCAGUCUCACGUCUUAUAGACCUUGGCAUGUCUUCUUUGUGAUUUGUACUGAUUAUCUUAUAAAGUGUUGCUGGUUGCAGCUAUAAUUGACAUGUUUAAGGCUGCUUUUUUCCCUAGAUUUGUUUACUGAGCUUAGUUAUUAGCCGUCUAGCCGUUACAGUGAAUAUCACAAAUCUUUAAACUGAUUUCCAAGUGUGAGUGAAUUCAGCCUAUAGAAUCAAUGUGAAUCUCCUGCACUCUGAUUUAUUGUAUUAUUUUAAAGAUGCGGAAACUUCCUAGAAAAACAAGGCUAGACUGGCGGUAACUAUACAGAAACCUAGCCAUGUUUAGGAACAUUCCAACCAAGGUUUAAUUGACGAAUCACUUGAAUGUUCAGUGGGGCUGGGACUCACAUAACUGAGAAUUUGCAAUAUAUAAGCCUCAAUUUAAUAUUUUUGUAAAAGCUAUUAAAAUGAUUUAAUAUUUUGAAAAAUACAGUAGUAUUUUAAUAUUCUGAC
Pelobates cultripes (western spadefoot toad) is the source of this 1731-nucleotide non-coding RNA. The record is from the annotation of a GenBank genome assembly. Lineage: Eukaryota; Metazoa; Chordata; Amphibia; Anura; Pelobatidae.